AAAAAUGCAAGAAUAAAAGGAAAAAAAAAUACCAUUACAUAAAUGGAAUUUAUAUAACAUGAGAGAUAAGAGCAUGUGAAGAAUGCAAAAAUAUGUUGUGGCCAACAUUUCUCAAAGAAAACUCCUUGAUUAGGAAGUAACCACAUAGUUUUCGAGGUUGUUGAGUUGAGUAGACAUAACAUAAAUAUAAAUAGGUUAUAAUAAUACAAACAACUUUCGAUAAGGGUUACCAGAAGCCUGAAUGGGUUUCCGUUUACCACUUCAUCUUCUUCCUUGAAACCACGCAUCUCAUGGCAAUGGCACUCGACGCUGCAGUUUGGAUCGCAAAGAUGACAUGGAUUGCUCUCAGUGGCUGGAUUAGUUCUUGUUUAACUGUUGCUGAUGAAUUUGCCUCUUCUCUACGUUCUGGCGAUAUUGGCCCUUUUCAUGUGGGUUGACUCAAUCAUGUCUCUUUCUUGCAACGGGCUUUGCUUUAAGUAGUUUGUUGUAUAUGAUAACCAUUGAGCAUCUGCUUAGGGAUCUGCAGUUCUUCUUUAGCCAAAGAAACAUUAUAUUAGAGCAUAGCAUAUUUUCUCUUUAUUAUUUGCAAGUAGUGUAAAAUGUGUCCAAUCCAAUCAAUAAUCUUGUGACCUUUUCAUUGUAUCUAAUCCUAAUUUAACUUUACCCUUGUGUGUGGUGCAAUUUCUUGACCAAUUAGAUAAUGUGAUGAAUAUUGUGGUGUGUCAGCUGUAUGAAGUUAAACCUUAAGAUGUCAUAAAAGCUUUCUGGAAAUUAUUAUAUUGUGCUGAGGCUAAUUGGUCUGUAUGUUGUUAUGUUAUGUUAAUUCACAAUAUAAGGAAAAGUAUAGGUUGGAUAUAAAUUGAAAGUUUAAGGGUGCUACUUUUGAUACCCUUAUGAGAAAGUUGAUGCUUAGAAAAUUCUAGGGGCACUUAUAUAUUAUGCUUAAAUGUGUUUUUAGCAUACUGAAAUUCGUUCUAUUACAAAGUGGGUUUUUGCCUAACUCAAUCCUACAAAAUCGGCUUGUAAGGUG
RNAcentral lists this small RNA (1030 nucleotides) under Vigna angularis var. angularis. RNAcentral describes it as "Non-protein coding transcript". Lineage: Eukaryota; Viridiplantae; Streptophyta; Magnoliopsida; Fabales; Fabaceae. The record is from RNAcentral.